ACACACACAAAGCCAUCCAUAAUUGAUGCUAGCUGUAGGCAGACACUGGCGGGCUGGACUUUAUAGCGCAGCUGGAUGUGCAUGGAGGAAGGCUGAGGCAAGAUGGUAGAGCAGGGUAACCAGGACACACCGGCGCCCCCGGAUCCAUCCAUGGCCCAGGCUUACCAAUCGGCCCAGUUUGCCCCCCCUCCCCAGAACGGCAUUCCAGCUGACUUCACAGCUUCACACCCCCAUCCACAUCCACACUCCCACCCACAUCCACACCAGCACCCAGCAGCACCACAGGACUACACUGGGAUCCAGGCCUCCGUCACUGAGCAUCCACUCAACAUGUACCAGUCCUCACAGAGCCACAGCGAGCAGAGCGGAUCAGACUCCGGCAGUCAGACAGUCACCGGCACAGCCACACAGACAGAUGAUGCCGCCCAGACGGACAGUCAGCCACCGACACAGAGUGUAUCUGAAAGCACAGACAGCAAGGCCCAACCCAAGAGACUUCAUGUCUCCAACAUCCCCUUCAGGUUUAGAGACCCAGACCUCAGGCAAAUGUUUGGCCAAUUUGGCAAAAUCUUAGACGUGGAAAUCAUCUUCAACGAGCGAGGCUCUAAGGGUUUUGGGUUCGUAACGUUCGAGCAUAGCGUGGACGCCGACAGGGCCAGAGAGAAAUUACACGGCACCGUGGUAGAAGGCCGUAAAAUAGAGGUCAACAAUGCAACAGCCCGAGUAAUGACAAAUAAGAAGACUGUCAACCCAUAUGCAAAUGGCUGGAAGUUAAAUCCAGUGGUCAGCGCUGUCUACAGCCCAGAAUUCUAUGCAGUACCAGGUUUUCCUUAUCCAGCAGCCAGUGCAGCAGCAGCGUACAGAGGAGCCCACCUACGAGGUCGAGGAAGGACUGUGUACAACACAUUCAGGGCAGCUGCUCCUCCUCCCCACAUUCCAGCUUACGGAGGUGUUGUUUACCAGGAUGGAUUUUAUGGUGCAGAUAUUUAUGGUGGUUACGCUGCCUACAGAUAUGCCCAGCCUACUGCUGCCACAGCUGCUGCAUACAGUGACAGUUACGGACGAGUAUAUGCUGCCGACCCCUACAACCACACACUCACUCCAGCAGCCACAUACAGCGUUGGUGCCAUGCUGUUGGCAUGUACCCCUGGCAUGAAGCGUCUCGCUGUGCUUGCUGCAUGACGGUUGCUCCGGUCAUUGGUCUUUUCAUCCCCCCAUGGGUUUGCACUGGAACAACGAAUGCGUUCGCCCCGCUGACAGAUGCCAAAACUCGGAGCCAUGCCGACGACGUGGGGCUAGUGCUGUCCUCUCUCCAAGCUAGUAUAUAUCGGGGAGGCUACAGCCGCUUUGCACCCUAUUAGCAACACCUCCAACUAUACUCAACCUUCCAACAGGAGAGAAAGAAAGUGUGUGUGCGAGCGACUGUGUGAGUGAAUGAGAACGUCAGCGAGAGAACGAUUUAUCAGAGGAGAGAUGUUACUGAGGCCUGGGUAUUGCAAUACAUGCAGUUUGUGCAUCAUUUCAGCAUCUCCUAAGAGAGAAGUACAAAAAAAAAGAAUAAGAAUAAAAUGACAGCUGAUAUUUUUCAUCUUAUACCUCAAAUAUUUUGUGCUGUGUAUUUUGAUAUUGUGGGUUUUUAAUUUCUAAAGAUUUAAACAUAGAUUAUCAGCUGUAGAGGUUUUUCCAUGGUACUAAUAGAGAGCUGCUAGAGUAAUGAUUAGGACACAAAGGAAAUAUUUAUCUGAUUCAAAUUGUUAGGGCUUGUAUAGAACUCAACCCUGUAAGAUAGGUCAUAGUCACACUUUCGGGUUUUUAUGUUUUGUAAGAGUGUUAAAGUGACUAUGCUAGUCAAGUGUUAUUGUUUUACUUCUCUCAGCUUCCUUUUUGGCACUUCCUCUCUCAGUUUAGCGACGAUAGUUUUUUUUCUUUAGUUUGUGAGGAAGUAAAGAAGCCUUGGAAAAAAAAUGGACACAAAAUGUUCUUCUAUAAACUUUUGAGGGCAGGGCGGGUAUGUUUGAGAAGCUGAGGACAGCCAUGCUUUCUAUUUUUUUAGGUCCAUCAUCUUGAGAUCACAACAUUUUUUUUAUCUUGUUAACUAACUAGUGUUUACUGUCACAUGCUCAGAAUGAUUUAGCCAAACCGAGAUAAUAAUUAAUUCCCAAGACAAACCCUACGUAGUGUCUGCAUAGUCGUGAAAAUUGCACGUAAUGUAGCCUAAAAUGUAACAUGAGGUUUUCUUGUUUGGUUUUGUUUCAUGUGAAAUGGAAUUGCAUUUACAAAGAAUGUUUCAUUCAUUUUGACUUUGUAUCUCAUAAUUACAAAAUCUGAUUACUGUUUCAAACAUUAUUUUUCUAUUAUAGAUUAUCCAGCUAACAUUUAAGAUGUACGGAUACUGAUUUUUGGGCCAAAUCAUAUUAUUUUAUUUGUAUGUUGUUUAGCCUAAAAAUAGAAAAGUAGAAAAUUCAGCUACGGUUAGCCUGAUUUCAGCCAAAUUUAUGACCACAUUUAGCCAAACCAAAGCCUAAAUAAACUGCAUAUAAUGCCCACAUGAAAUGUCACAACACAGUUAAAUAAACAUAAAAAGGAACCUUAAAACAUUUAAGCCAUGUGGUUAUAACACAUACAAGUUAGCACUGUUUCAUGACUACAAAGAGGUCAUCACAAAAACUGUUUUCCAACAGCGGCAACAGAAAUCCAGAUCAACUUAAAGAAGAGAUGAUCGCAUCUCCAUUUAGCUUCAUCACCAAGUCAUGGAAACAAUCUCAACUGUACACAGGAUGUGUUAGCCCCUUUAUCUCAUCAUGUUCAGCUUACGUGCUGACUAAUGCCUCCGGUCAGCUCCAUUCAGUCUUCCCCUCACCUUCCAGGUCAAAGCUGGCUGAGAGCUGACACUGUAAUGAUAACUACACGGCAUCUUUGAAAUAUGUUUAAACUCACAGACAGGUACGUCAUGGCUCCUGCCUCUGCAGUGUUUGCUGUGGACAGCUGGCAGCAGGUCAAGCUGUUUGUACAGCAGUGCAAUCCAAUCAAACAACAGUCUGAGCAGAGUUUUGACUGAUGGCUUAACGCUGAUGUAGCGGCUGAUCUGAUGAGGUGUGUAUGAGCUCAGACACACAGAUAUAUCUUUAACACCAAACACCAAAGCAUAGCCCACGUUUUAAGUUUAUUACUAAUUAGAAAGGCUAACAAUAAUUAUGCAUAGUUAUAAUUAUCAUAAACAUCUUGUAAUCUUGAGACACUUAGUCAAAAUCUUCAUUCUUUUGGUGAAUGCGAUGCAUUUUCAUAAUAGUAACAAGAUGUUUAUUCGAAUUCUAACAAAAAUGUAACGGUUGUUUUUCUCUAAUUCUGGCAUCUUUCCUCUUCCAUAUAUUAUAUUAUUGAGAUAGCGAGUUAAUUAAGUCAUGAUCUCGAACUAAAAUAAAAAUUAGUGAUCACAGCUGCUCCCUUCUUCCAUAGAUAAUAGAGGUGUAGUUUAGUUUCCUUUUUAUGGAGAGAAUGAUGUGAGUCAGCACAUUCUUCAGGCUGUAAAUUUAUUGACUAAAUAAUGUGGUUAUAUCGUACAUCACUUCAAACCAAAGGUUCUGGUGGACAUAUCCGGUGUGUUUUAUGUGUAUAGUCAAGAUUCCACAUAGAUAUGAAUUAUGAGAUACGAAAAAAAAAAAAAGGAUUGCCAUGGCAACUAAACUGUUCAACCAUUUAAUUGCUUUAGUCCACAUGCUGUGAUAUGAAAAAGAAUUAGGGCCACAUGAAUCAAAAUAAUAAUUUAAUAAGAUAAAAUCAGAUGAAUUGCAGAAUUCGAAGGAAAAAGACGGGAUGCUGGGAAAUGAAGUCAGACUUUAAUCACAGAAUUCAGACUCUGAAUUCGAAGAUGAAAUGUUUUGUGGCACUAAUCCUCUUCCAUACUGAGUAGUGUUGGCCAUCCAGACGUAGAUGUUUUUUAUAUAAACUUCCAAUAUAUUCAUUGGUAUAACUGAUGAUUUUUAUAUUACAGGAGAGAUUUAAAAAAAAUAUAUAUAGCAGUGGUCAGUUCCACUGUGUCUAUUUUAUCUUUCUGUUCAUCUUGUUUUGCCUUUUUUUUGUUUGUUUGUUUUCUUUCAUAAUUAAAAUUGAAGGGGGGUAAAGUAUAAUAAUCCAACAAUGUAUUAUAUUUGAACUGUGCAGUGAAGAUGUUCUCUUAUAUGAAAUACACAAUGGUAUUAUGUUUUAGAUUUAGAUGAGUAGAUCAGUUGUUAGGGCGAGCUAUCUCAUUUUCUAUCAGAUCAUAUUCAGAUUUUUAUUAACUCUUUACAAAUAACGUAAUCACAGUGUAGAUACUCUCAUUCAUCCCUUUUCUUUCUUUUUGGUCGACUGUACCAUUUUGCACAUACAACUUGUAAUUUUCUCAUGAACCUGAGACAUAUCAGUGCUGUAGUUGUAAUUUCUCUUCGUUCUUUUGUAUCAGUUCUGUAAUUUUGGAUUGGUUCUCUUUCCUCUCACGUCAUUCUUAACGUGACAUCUUUUCUGUUAUUUUCUAGAACUCAACCUUUACUCUUUGAGAAUUAACUGUUUGAAUAUUACAAUACUAAAUAAUUAUGAGAAAUAAAUGAUUUGUGAACAGGCUAAUCUAUGAUGUAAAUACAAGUUAAUGGAAUAAAUCUGUAGUGUAUUUGAAAAGCGCUACAUGGGCAACGGGGGCUCUGCUACGGCUGCAUUGCAAGCCAGCCUACGGGACACUUCCUGUGCCACGUUCUGUUUACAACUCUUCCCAAUUAGUGGUGUUGUUAAAUAUCUCCCUUUUUGUAUUUAUAACAAAUUAGAAAGAAAACUCUCAGAUGCAUCACCUUAUUAAAAAAGGCAGCAGUAAGAGCCUCGGGGCCGCUUGGCUCCGCGGGUUCGAACCCUCGUCUCUGUGCUGUGUGUGACGACUGUCGAUCAGAACUGGACGAAUCGUAGUCCUCACUAUGCUGAAUGUCUGACUCCGCAACUACUUUAUACAAGCUCUGCUUCCAGUAGGUGUUGUGGUUCAAAACAAGGCUUCCUACCCAGUCAUUGUAUGUGCAUGUACUAUGGUUCUUCCACUAAUCAAUAACCAUCAAUAAAGUUUUGU
Molecule: RNA transcript, 5086 nt
Organism: Larimichthys crocea (large yellow croaker)
Lineage: Eukaryota; Metazoa; Chordata; Actinopteri; Sciaenidae
Gene: rbfox1
Gene name: RNA binding fox-1 homolog 1
Exons: 13
Source: RefSeq, a predicted model, not a curated record